GUAGCUAAUACCGCAUAACGUCGCAAGACCAAAGAGGGGGACCUUCGGGCCUCUUGCCAUCGGAUGUGCCCAGAUGGGAUUAGCUAGUAGGUGGGGUAACGGCUCACCUAGGCGACGAUCCCUAGCUGGUCUGAGAGGAUGACCAGCCACACUGGAACUGAGACACGGUCCAGACUCCUACGGGAGGCAGCAGUGGGGAAUAUUGCACAAUGGGCGCAAGCCUGAUGCAGCCAUGCCGCGUGUAUGAAGAAGGCCUUCGGGUUGUAAAGUACUUUCAGCGGGGAGGAAGGGAGUAAAGUUAAUACCUUUGCUCAUUGACGUUACCCGCAGAAGAAGCACCGGCUAACUCCGUGCCAGCAGCCGCGGUAAUACGGAGGGUGCAAGCGUUAAUCGGAAUUAC
RNAcentral lists this ribosomal RNA (400 nucleotides) under Escherichia coli. Its description in RNAcentral is "bacterial SSU rRNA". It matches the Rfam family "Bacterial small subunit ribosomal RNA", at positions 159 to 554 of the family's 1533-position model. The record is from RNAcentral. Lineage: Bacteria; Pseudomonadati; Pseudomonadota; Gammaproteobacteria; Enterobacterales; Enterobacteriaceae.